AGCCCGCCCGCCGCCGGAAUGGUAACCGCUCGCACCAGCCAAUAAGAGACGGCCAACGGCUGAAAGGCGGGGCUUUUUGUGCCUCGGUGGGGGGAGUUCUGAGGCUCCACGUGAAUGUUGAGACCCGUGGUGGAAAGAAGGGCUGGGCUUGCGACGCGGUAGUAGAGAACACAAGUCGAACACUUUCCAAGCGUUCAGGACUGCGUGAUGUAUCAGCGAAUUAUGCAAGCAGAUCCCAGGCAAAAGACACUGUGGAGUCCAAGUACAGGACAGGAUAGUAUUUCUGAAGAGAGGCAUUGAAUUCAUUGUCAACCAUUUUUGGUAACCUCAGUUAACAUGAUGACAUAAUAGAGGGAAACAUCUAAAUUUUCAGCAGUUUUCUUUUGUUUAGUUUUUGUUUUUCCACUUAGAAUACAGACGAUCAAAGACGUGGCUACAGUUCUGACUGUUUUGAUCAUACCCUGUAGAGAUCCCUGACUUCCCUCACUGCUAAUUUUACCGUUAAGUGUAAAGCAAUUUUAUGUUAUAAAAAAGAAACAGGCCUGGCACUGGUUGUUGAAGUGCAUGCUUCAGCAAUUCCACUGCCAGUUUUUGGACUCUCCUGACAUUGAUUUUUGUUCAC
Long non-coding RNA from Ahaetulla prasina, 622 nucleotides. RefSeq lists it as uncharacterized. The record is from RefSeq and is a predicted model, not a curated record. Lineage: Eukaryota; Metazoa; Chordata; Lepidosauria; Squamata; Colubridae. The transcript has 3 exons.